CAGCCGCCCUCUCUGGCACACAGCGGCUUUGGUAGGAUUAAAGGAAAAUGCCCUGCCUGGUACACUGUGGCCCUCAACAAUGAUUGGGAGACUGAGGCUGGAGAGAGGCAGGCUGUGCUGGGUCGUGACCGCGGGGAAGUCCCAGUCUCUCCGUGGGCUUCAGUUUCUCCCUCUGGUGAAUGAGAAGCAGACUCCCUCCUGCCAAGGGUUCAGGACUUUCCCAUCUUUGUUGCCAUGGCUCCUGGAUCAGAAUGCAGCAAUUUUCCCAACUAGAUACGUACUGAUGUUUCCAGUGUCUGUCUGCAAAUAACCAGCCCUGACCCACUAUGGAAGCCACCUGUAAUGGAUCAAAGGACUCCUCACCUGUGUUCUACCUGGUGGGCAUCCCCUCUCUGCUUGAAUCCCUCUUCCUCCUUGUCUUCUUGAUUUUCCUCUUAAUCUCUCUGCUUACUCUGGUGGGAAAUGAGCUGAUCCUGGUGUCUGUGGUGGCAGAGCCCAGCCUACACAAGCCCAUGUACUUCUUCCUGAUCAACCUCUCAGCC
Molecule: non-coding RNA, 542 nt
Organism: Delphinapterus leucas (beluga whale)
Lineage: Eukaryota; Metazoa; Chordata; Mammalia; Artiodactyla; Monodontidae
Source: RefSeq, a predicted model, not a curated record